UACGGAGGGGGCCAGCGUUGUUCGGAAUCAUUGGGCGUAAAGGGCGCGUAGGCGGCCACGCAAGUCGGAUGUGAAAUCCCUCGGCUCAACCGAGGAACUGCACCCGAAACUGCGAGGCUCGAGUCCUGGAGAGGGUAGUGGAAUUCCCAGUGUAGCGGUGAAAUGCGUAGAUACUGGGAGGAACACCGGUGGCGAAGGCGGCUACCUGGACAGGUACUGACGCUGAUGCGCGAAAGCCAGGGGAGCAAACAGG
RNAcentral lists this ribosomal RNA (253 nucleotides) under uncultured bacterium. RNAcentral's name for it is "partial 16S ribosomal RNA". It matches the Rfam family "Bacterial small subunit ribosomal RNA", at positions 524 to 776 of the family's 1533-position model. The record is from RNAcentral.